This 253-nucleotide ribosomal RNA is filed under the name uncultured bacterium. RNAcentral's name for it is "partial 16S ribosomal RNA". It matches the Rfam family "Bacterial small subunit ribosomal RNA", at positions 524 to 776 of the family's 1533-position model. The record is from RNAcentral.
UACGAACUGUGCGAACGUUAUUCGGAAUCACUGGGCUUACAGGGUGCGUAGGCGGCUUAACAAGUCAGGUGUGAAAGCCCCCGGCUCAACCGGGGAACUGCGCUUGAAACUGUUAGGCUCGAGUCAGCUAGAGGUACACGGAACUUCCAGUGGAGCGGUGAAAUGUGUUGAUAUUGGAAGGAACACCGGAGGCGAAAGCGGUGUACUGGGGCUGGUCUGACGCUGAGGCACGAAAGCCAGGGGAGCGAACGGG